Molecule: non-coding RNA, 30 nt
Filed under: Mus musculus (house mouse)
Lineage: Eukaryota; Metazoa; Chordata; Mammalia; Rodentia; Muridae
Source: RNAcentral
UGACAAGAGAGCUGGCAUGCCUUCUGCCCC